CCCAGACUCCUACGGGAGGCAGUAGUGGGGAAUAUUGCACAAUGGGGGAAACCCUGAUGCAGCGACGCCGCGUGAGUGAAGAAGUAAUUCGUUAUGUAAAGCUCUAUCAGCAGGGAAGAAAAUGACGGUACCUGAGUAAGAAGCCCCGGCUAACUACGUGCCAGCAGCCGCGGUAAUACGUAGGGGGCAAGCGUUAUCCGGAUUUACUGGGUGUAAGGGGAGCGUAGACGGCAGUGCAAGUCUGGAGUGAAAGGCGGGGGCGCAACCCCCGGACUGCUCUGGAAACUGCGGAGCUGGAGUACGGGAGGGGCAGGCGGAAUUCCUGGUGUAGCGGUGAAAUGCGUAGAUAUCAGGAGGAACACCGGCGGCGAAGGCGGCCUGCUGGACCGCGACUGACGUUGAGGCUCGAGAGCGUGGGGAGCAAACAGGAUUAGAUACCCGGGUACAA
RNAcentral lists this ribosomal RNA (448 nucleotides) under uncultured bacterium. Its description in RNAcentral is "partial 16S ribosomal RNA". It matches the Rfam family "Bacterial small subunit ribosomal RNA", at positions 330 to 794 of the family's 1533-position model. The record is from RNAcentral.